AAGUUUUAUCCCGACAAUUUAAAAGAAGAUAAACAUGUAGAAAACACUUUGGUUACUUGUUUGGACGCGGGUUCGACUCCCGCCAUCUCCACGA
This 94-nucleotide transfer-messenger RNA is filed under the name Prevotellaceae bacterium. RNAcentral's name for it is "partial transfer-messenger RNA". It matches the Rfam family "transfer-messenger RNA", at positions 279 to 374 of the family's 374-position model. From Rfam's summary of the family: Bacterial tmRNA, also known as 10Sa RNA or SsrA, is named for its dual tRNA and mRNA-like properties. Its role is to liberate the mRNA from a stalled ribosome. Lineage: Bacteria; Pseudomonadati; Bacteroidota; Bacteroidia; Bacteroidales; Prevotellaceae. The record is from RNAcentral.